UGGGGAAUAUUGGACAAUGGGCGCAAGCCUGAUCCAGCCAUGCCGCGUGAGUGAUGAAGGCCCUAGGGUUGUAAAGCUCUUUCACCGGUGAAGGUAAUGACGGUAACCGGAGAAGAAGCCCCGGCUAACUUCGUGCCAGCAGCCGCGGUAAUACGAAGGGGGCUAGCGUUGUUCGGAUUUACUGGGCGUAAAGCGCACGUAGGCGGACUUUUAAGUCAGGGGUGAAAUCCCGGGGCUCAACCCCGGAACUGCCUUUGAUACUGGAAGUCUUGAGUAUGGUAGGGGUGAGUGGAAUUCCGAGUGUAGGGGUGAAAUUCGUAGAUAUUCGGAGGAACACCAGUGGCGAAGGCGGCUCACUGGACCAUUACUGACGCUGAGGUGCGAAAGCGUGGGGAUCAAACAGG
This 404-nucleotide ribosomal RNA is filed under the name Actinomycetes bacterium. RNAcentral's name for it is "Actinobacteria bacterium partial 16S ribosomal RNA". It matches the Rfam family "Bacterial small subunit ribosomal RNA", at positions 355 to 776 of the family's 1533-position model. The record is from RNAcentral. Lineage: Bacteria; Bacillati; Actinomycetota; Actinomycetes.